Molecule: ribosomal RNA, 1161 nt
Filed under: uncultured organism
Description: bacterial SSU rRNA
Rfam family: Bacterial small subunit ribosomal RNA
Source: RNAcentral
CGGACGGGUGAGUAACACGUAGGUAUCUGCCUCAAGGAGGGGGAUAACACCGGGAAACUGGUGCUAAUACCCCAUAUGUCUUUCGAGAUGAAAGCUCCGGCGCCUUGAGAUGAGCCUGCGGCUGAUUAGCUAGUUGGUGGGGUAAAUGCCUACCAAGGCGACGAUCAGUAGCUGGUCUGAGAGGAUGAUCAGCCACAAUGGAACUGAGACACGGUCCAUACUCCUACGGGAGGCAGCAGUAGGGAAUUUUGCGCAAUGGGCGAAAGCCUGACGCAGCAACACCGCGUGUGGGAUGAAGCUUUUCGGAGUGUAAACCACUGUCAGUGGGGACGAAUAAAUGACGGUACCCACAGAGGAAGCAUCGGCUAACUACGUGCCAGCAGCCGCGGUAAGACGUAGGAUGCAAGCGUUGUCCGGAAUUAUUGGGCGUAAAGCGUUCGUAGGCGGCAUGCCAAGUCUGAUGUCAAAGCCCGGAGCUCAACUCCGGUUCGGCAUUGGAUACUGGCAAGCUAGAGUGCAGGAGAGGCAAGGGGAAUUCCUAGUGUAGCGGUGAAAUGCGUAGAUAUUAGGAGGAACACCAGUGGCGUAAGCGCCUUGCUGGACUGUAACUGACGCUGAGGGACGAAAGCCAGGGGAGCAAAUGGGAUUAGAUACCCCAGUAGUCCUGGCCGUAAACGAUGGAUACUAGGUGUCGCGGGUAUCGACCCCUGCGGUGCUGCAGCUAACGCAAUAAGUAUCCCGCCUGGGGAGUACGCACGCAAGUGUGUAAACUCAAAGGAAUUGACGGGGAUCCGCUCAAGCGGUGGAACAUGUGGUUUAAUUGGAAGCAACGUGAAGAACCUUACCAGGGCUUGACAUCCCGAGAACUUUCCAGAGAUGGAUUGGUGCCCUUCGGGGAACUCGGUGACAGGUGGUGCACGGUUGUGGUCAGCUCGUGUCGUGAGAUGUUGGGUUAAGUCCCGCAAUGAGCGCAACCCUAGUUGAUUAGUUUCCAGUAAGAGCCUGCUCUUGCUGUGCUCUCUAGCGAGACUGCCGGUGAUAAACCGGAGGAAGGUGGGGUCGACGUCAAAUCAUCAUGCCCCUUAUGUCCUGGGCUACACACGUGUUACAAUGGGUAGGACAGCGAGCAGCCAACCAGCAAUGGUGAGCAAAUCUCUUAAA